GAGUUUGAUCAUGGCUCAGAUUGAACGCUGGCGGUAGGCUUAACACAUGCAAGUCGUGCGAGAAAGUAUCUUCGGAUAUGAGUAGAGCGGCGGACGGGUGAGUAACGCGUAGGAAUCUACCUAGUAGAAGGGGAUAGCCCGGGGAAACCCGGAUUAAUACCGUAUACCUCCUUCGGGAGAAAGAAGGCCUCUCUUUGAAGCUUUCGCUACUAGAUGAGCCUGCGUAAGAUUAGCUAGUUGGUGAGGUAAUGGCUCACCAAGGCUACGAUCUUUAGCUGGUCUGAGAGGACGAUCAGCCACAUUGGGACUGAGACACGGCCCAGACUCCUACGGGAGGCAGCAGUGGGGAAUAUUGGACAAUGGGCGCAAGCCUGAUCCAGCCAUACCGCGUGUGUGAAGAAGGCCUUCGGGUUGUAAAGCACUUUAAGCAGGGAGAAAAAGUUAUAGGUUAAUACCCUAUGACCUUGAUGUUACCUGCAGAAUAAGCACCGGCUAAUUCCGUGCCAGCAGCCGCGGUAAUACGGAAGGUGCAAGCGUUAAUCGGAAUUACUGGGCGUAAAGCGCGCGUAGGUGGUUUGUUAAGUUGGAUGUGAAAGCCCUGGGCUCAACCUAGGAACUGCAUCCAAAACUAACUCACUAGAGUACGAUAGAGGGAGGUAGAAUUCAUAGUGUAGCGGUGGAAUGCGUAGAUAUUAUGAAGAAUACCAGUGGCGAAAGCGGCCUCCUGGAUCUGUACUGACACUGAGUGCGAAAGCGUGGGUAGCGAACAGGAUUAGAUACCCUGUAGUCCACGCCGUAAACGAUGACAACUAGCUGUUGGGAGACUAUGUCUUUCAGUGCGCAGCUAACGCUUUAAGUUGUCCG
Molecule: ribosomal RNA, 864 nt
Filed under: uncultured bacterium
Lineage: Bacteria
Description: bacterial SSU rRNA
Rfam family: Bacterial small subunit ribosomal RNA
Source: RNAcentral